RNAcentral lists this ribosomal RNA (464 nucleotides) under uncultured bacterium. Its description in RNAcentral is "partial 16S ribosomal RNA". It matches the Rfam family "Bacterial small subunit ribosomal RNA", at positions 28 to 503 of the family's 1533-position model. The record is from RNAcentral.
GACGAACGCUGGCGGCGUGCUUAACACAUGCAAGUCGAACGGAAAGGCCCUGCUUUUGUGGGGUGCUCGAGUGGCGAACGGGUGAGUAACACGUGAGUAACCUGCCCUUGACUUUGGGAUAACUUCAGGAAACUGGGGCUAAUACCGGAUAGGAGCUCCUGCUGCAUGGUGGGGGUUGGAAAGUUUCGGCGGUUGGGGAUGGACUCGCGGCUUAUCAGCUUGUUGGUGGGGUAGUGGCUUACCAAGGCUUUGACGGGUAGCCGGCCUGAGAGGGUGACCGGCCACAUUGGGACUGAGAUACGGCCCAGACUCCUACGGGAGGCAGCAGUGGGGAAUAUUGCACAAUGGGCGGAAGCCUGAUGCAGCAACGCCGCGGGCGGGAUGACGGCCUUCGGGUUGUAAACCGCUUUCGCCUGUGACGAAGCGUGAGUGACGGUAAUGGGUAAAGAAGCACCGGCUAACUA